GGCACAGAUUUCAAGUAAAGUAGGUUAGUAGGAUCAGCUGACUCUACCAAACUAUCUUACUUCAAAUUUGUGCCC
Haemonchus contortus (barber pole worm) is the source of this 75-nucleotide non-coding RNA. The record is from Rfam. NCBI's taxonomy places the organism in Eukaryota, Metazoa, Nematoda, Chromadorea, Rhabditida, Trichostrongylidae.